CACGUAGGGCGCAAGCGUUGUCCGGAAUUAUUGGGCGUAAAGAGCUCGUAGGCGGUCUGUUACGUCUGCUGUGAAAACCCUGGGCUUAACCCUGGGCUUGCAGUGGAUACGGGCAGACUAGAGGCAGGUAGGGGAGAAUGGAAUUCCCGGUGUAGCGGUGAAAUGCGCAGAUAUCGGGAGGAACACCGGUGGCGAAGGCGGCGUGCUGGACCUCUUCUGACGCUGAGGCGCGAAAGCCAGGGGAGCAAACGGG
Molecule: ribosomal RNA, 253 nt
Filed under: uncultured bacterium
Lineage: Bacteria
Description: partial 16S ribosomal RNA
Rfam family: Bacterial small subunit ribosomal RNA
Source: RNAcentral